Saccharomyces cerevisiae S288C is the source of this 2223-nucleotide non-coding RNA. The record is from Ensembl. NCBI's taxonomy places the organism in Eukaryota, Fungi, Ascomycota, Saccharomycetes, Saccharomycetales, Saccharomycetaceae.
CCCGCUGCAGUCUUUUUUAUGACCAUCUUUUUUAUGCAAUGCUAUUAAUGUUUAAAAGGAUUAUUUAACGCUUUACUGAGCAAAAUAUAGGUUAUUUAGUGUUUGGAAUUGUUGUUUUUGUUGCUGUUUGGAUUCAAAGGGAGUAUGUUUUUGAUUCAUAGGAUUCUGCUUGGCCUCAGCAUAAUACUUACCACUCCCCAUAUCCAUAUUAUUCCAAUACUGCUGCUGAUGCUGCUGCUGUAAUUUUGAAGGUUGCUUUUUGUCGAUUUUUUUAGUACCAGUGUGGCUGGUUCCAGUUUUGCUCUUCAUAAACUCCUGGUACUUCCUCUCGACAUCCAUUUCGUAAAUGCAAUUUCCUGUCAACUGGUUUCCGAUGGUAAACCAGCCAGGCCGCGUAUUGUGAUCCCUUCCGAAUAUCUCUAGUUUUCUGGCAUGGGUGCCUGCCAACCGUUCUGCUAUACCAUACAGUUCAUCAGGCUUUCUACUAGUCUCUCUGGUCAUUGAUACGAUCAAAUCGACGUCAAUAUGUUUGUUGAUCCACUUUGGAUUACCCUUUAAGCCCACCAAUAAAUGCUCCUUAGAAUGAUUUAACCAAUGACCCGUACGACCUGUAACAAUUGUUCUACCCAGUUGGUUUGUCUUUAUCCAUGAAACUUCAUUUAUCACGUUGUAACCCCAGUUAUUCAAAGACUCUUUACCCAAUUCUAUAGCUCUACCCGUCACCCAAAGAAAAAUAAUACCUUCAUCUUGUAGUUCGUGCAAAGGCAAACCUAAUAGUUCAAUAUCGUUGCAAGUACCGUAUGGUAGGUUCAUAUGGAUAUUCCAUGCAGGAUCUGCAAUAACUACCGAAAACUUUCCAAGAACCCUAAAAUCAAAUUUCCGCACAUCGCAACGGAUCCACUGUGCAGGUAAAGCCUUUUUGAUACAAUGUGCGGAGCAAUUGCCCAGAGUAUAAAAUGGAAUGGAAACGUUUGACCGUAUUCUUUUAUUUUCACUCGCAGUUUCACGAUCAGCUCGCUCUUGCAAGCAUGACGGAAUAUAUUGCAGGUAAUGAAUGUAUCGACACGUAUUUAAUUUAUGACAGGUAUCCAAAUAGGAACAAUCUCCUAACGAAAUAUCAGUUUGUGGUUUGAUAUUAGGGAUAAAGUGAAUUUUUGAUUGAAUGCACUCAAUUAAUCCUGGGUGAUUUUCCUGACAUGCGGAUAUUUUGGACCAUUGUAAAGAAACGAUUUUGUUAUUGACAAUGUACACCGAGGUGGACAAUAGAGAUGCAUGCGAAUAGUCACUACAUAUCGGGAUGUAUUCAAUGACCUCGGUCGUGUAUUUGGCUCUUUCUUUAGCAAGCUGAAAAGAUGAUGGUUUUUCCCUCAAUAAAUUUUGUAAGCGAUUGCUCAGUUGUUCACGUGGUAACCCCUGGUUGCUGACGUUAACGUCCCAGUUCAGGACUCCAAGCAGUCUACCCAGCAGUUGGUCUUUUUCCGAAUCAGCUUCCGGUUUUGUUGUUAAACUCGACACUUUUUCUUCACAUGAAGAACUGGACGAUUUUAAUGUAUAGUAGAAGGCAUGGAACUUGUUAUAGAGAAUUUUCAAGGAAAAAACGUCCAGGUAAACAAUUUUUUCUGGCCUAUCUGCCACUAAUAGAUUCUGGUCAAAUUGAAUGGACUGCGGCGUUGCAAAUAUAAUAUCCUGAAGAUCAUUCCAAAACUGUUCAAACUGUAAGACCUCGUCUUUAUCGUUUCUCAACUUCUGCAUCUCAUCAUCGUAUCCGCCACUGAUGUACAGUGAAUACACAUCUUUGAGCUGUCCAGAAAGCGGUGCUCUUAGGAUGUCAUCAUAAUUCUGGAUCAGAAAAUGUACUAGUUUAUCGUUAAUCAUAGCCUGCUUACAACUUUUAUGAAUUCAAGUCUGAAUGCCAAUUCUUAUUUUUUUCGAAAACCCCCAAUGCUAACUUAUAUGGUCCGUUUUCUUUACUGUUAUCCAUCUCCCUUUCCUAUAGCUCCAGCGGUUACCGAUCUUCCAGAAUGCCGGGGAGAUCUUUCUCUUUCUUUGUUUAUAACAAGUUUCACAAGCACGAAAGAAAGAACAAUACUGUACGCCAAAAGCCGCCUAAAGACGCAUAUUCCCGUCAAUUUAUGUGACCGGUACCACUAUAUACCUAAGGCACCUCUAUACCAAUGUAGAAUGCCCUGUUUAUACUCUAUAUAGAGGAUUCUCGAUGUUCUU